Molecule: long non-coding RNA, 394 nt
Organism: Cygnus olor (mute swan)
Lineage: Eukaryota; Metazoa; Chordata; Aves; Anseriformes; Anatidae
Exons: 3
Source: RefSeq, a predicted model, not a curated record
CUGCCUGUAUAAUUGCAACUUACGGGGAAUUUUUAAGUCAGCAUAGCAGAUCAAGGAAGCAGCAGUCUGAACAUUUGGGAUGUUAUCCUGAACGCAGGCUGCCAAGUACUGUAGGCUUCAGGAGAGAGUGAUGGUCAACAGCAUCUCUGCAAGUGUUUGCCUACCAUGCAGGCCUAGACUUCUGUGUGAAGACAGAGAAAUGUGCAGAGAAAAGACCAGUAACCAAGUGGCUUGCUUUUGUGACUGUGAGAGAUAGACACAAACCAGUGACUUAGAAACUGCUGCUACUAACAGGUAAAGAAAAUAUUCCAAGUAUUUCCAAGUCUUCUACUAUCUGUGCUACGAAAGUCAGCCUGCAGUUGGCUGAAGCUCGUUUUCUGUUUGCUUCCCUGAA